UCCCUGGUGGUCUAGUGUUUAGGAUUCGGCGCUCUCACCGCCGUGGCCUGGGUUCGUUUCCGGUCAGGGAA
Molecule: transfer RNA, 71 nt
Filed under: Bos taurus (domestic cattle)
Lineage: Eukaryota; Metazoa; Chordata; Mammalia; Artiodactyla; Bovidae
Rfam family: tRNA
About the family: Transfer RNA (tRNA) molecules are approximately 80 nucleotides in length.
Source: Rfam by way of RNAcentral